This 233-nucleotide ribosomal RNA is filed under the name uncultured bacterium. RNAcentral's name for it is "partial 16S ribosomal RNA". It matches the Rfam family "Bacterial small subunit ribosomal RNA", at positions 103 to 334 of the family's 1533-position model. The record is from RNAcentral.
CGGGUAGCGGAACACGUACACAACCUUCCUUUAAGUGGGGGAUAGCCCAGAGAAAUUUGGAUUAAUACCCCGUAAGAUUAUGAGAUGGCAUCAUUUUAUAAUUAAAGCUGAGGCGCUUGGAGAUGGGUGUGCGGCUGAUUAGGUAGUUGGUCGGGGUAACGGCCCACCAAGCCUACGAUCAGUAACUGGUGUGAGAGCACGACCAGUCACACGGGCACUGAGACACGGGCCCG